AUUGAACGCUGGCGGCAGGCCUAACACAUGCCAGUCGAGCGGAUGAAGGGAGCUUGCUCCUGGAUUCAGCGGCGGACGGGUGAGUAAUGCCUAGGAAUCUGCCUGGUAGUGGGGGAUAACGUCCGGAAACGGGCGCUAAUACCGCAUACGUCCUGAGGGAGAAAGUGGGGGUUCUUCGGACCUCACGCUAUCAGAUGAGCCUAGGUCGGAUUAGCUAGUUGGUGGGGUAAAGGCCUACCAAGGCGACGAUCCGUAACUGGUCUGAGAGGAUGAUCAGUCACACUGGAACUGAGACACGGUCCAGACUCCUACGGGAGGCAGCAGUGGGGAAUAUUGGACAAUGGGCGAAAGCCUGAUCCAGCCAUGCCGCGUGUGUGAAGAAGGUCUUCGGAUUGUAAAGCACUUUAAGUUGGGAGGAAGGGCAGUAAGUUAAUACCUGGCUGUUUUGACGGUACCAACAGAAUAAGCACCGGCUAACUUCGUG
RNAcentral lists this ribosomal RNA (484 nucleotides) under uncultured bacterium. Its description in RNAcentral is "partial 16S ribosomal RNA". It matches the Rfam family "Bacterial small subunit ribosomal RNA", at positions 30 to 507 of the family's 1533-position model. The record is from RNAcentral.